UAAAGUCGCUCUUAACUUAUGAACAGCUUUAUGAAACGGCCCCCAGGGGUGUUUUCACAAAGAGUUAAGUGGGAUGAUAAAAAUCACAACGGAAUUCCCACUUGCGUAUAGCAUAUAACACAUCACCCCAUUGGUCAGAUCAGGAAUUCCCUCGUCAGAUCAUGCUUGUUGAAAGCGCACUACACAUAGUUGUCUAUGACUUCAUGUGUUGGACACCGUGUGUGCAUUAACCUUUAACCAUGAGUCUUAAUCUUUUGUGAAAUUAUUCUUUGUGAAACGCCCUCGGGAGGUGCUUCAUACAACUGUUUAUGUAUAAAUGACUGUAGUCACCUUACACAUGACUUAAAAAUGGGCAAUUCCAUUAAAUAUGAACGUCCGACCCCUUGUUCCUGGGACCUUCAUUUAAUUUUCUGUCUCUGAUUUCUUGUUCUUUUGAUAGUCUAUAAUGUUCACAAAGGACCAUGACUUGGUCUGUUCAUGAAGUGAAGUAAGACUUGAGAAAAAUGGGGGUCGGACUUACCAAAAGGUUGAUAAUUUUACUGAAUUGCCCAUAUGCAAGUGCGGGCAUGUACGCCCAGAGAUUAGUUGACUUGUUUAAGGAGGAAUUAUUGUAUUUCAUAUUAUGUAGUUGGUGAUCUUGGGCCCUAAAGCUGUGAAUUGCAGUCAUUUAUGCGCUGAUAAAAGGGAUGUAAUGUGAGAUAUUGUCACAUGAUAUCAAAAGAUUUUGUUAGCUUAUUUACAAAAUAAAAGUCAUCUUUUAUAU
Lytechinus variegatus (green sea urchin) is the source of this 763-nucleotide long non-coding RNA. RefSeq lists it as uncharacterized. The record is from RefSeq and is a predicted model, not a curated record. The transcript has 2 exons. Lineage: Eukaryota; Metazoa; Echinodermata; Echinoidea; Temnopleuroida; Toxopneustidae.